Molecule: long non-coding RNA, 1206 nt
Organism: Panicum virgatum (switchgrass)
Lineage: Eukaryota; Viridiplantae; Streptophyta; Magnoliopsida; Poales; Poaceae
Exons: 6
Source: RefSeq, a predicted model, not a curated record
ACUCGGUCAUCAAUUAAGCAAAUAUAUGAUGUUAUAUCAUGCUUCGAUGAGAGGAAAAGUUGCAGCUUGGCUGAUGAGCAGAGUAGAUCCACUCUCACAGACACUUGGUAUUGACUCCACAAAACACAUUAAGUAGCAAAACAGAUCUUCAAAAAGUAUUCGGAAUAUCAUGCAAUGGAAAGAGUAUAUCUGAUUGCGGUAUGCCAUGGAAGGAUAUCAUUGCAACUGUAAUGGGGUUAUACCUUAGUACAGAAACCCGGGAAAACUGGAGUAUAAAAGCUUCGCAAGAAGUUUUAGAAAGAAAAUAUGGCAACGAAAUGACACAAUCUGACCAGGAUGCGUUUAAAGUAGCAUUUGUCAUAUAUAUAAUGUCAACAUUAUUAUCACCUGGCUCCAAAUAUGACUAUGUGUCAGUGGAUUACUGGGAUGCUCUUGUGGACCCAUCAAGCAUCGGAGAUUUCGAUUGGUCAGAUUAUGUAAUAAAGAAGCUAUUCCAGGCAGUCGUCAAGCUAAAAGACUGAGCUUCAGCUUAGCAACAAAGUGUCAAAUAUUACAGGAUGCUCCAUUUUCCUGCAGGUGCUUUACCUCGACAGUAUGGAUAUUGGAGUGAUCAGUAUGGAGCAUUCAUCAUUCUCCACGCAUUAGACAUUUCUCGGCAGAAACAAUGAAGUCUAUGGUGCUUGCUGAUAGUUUGUGCAGAACUGCAGACAGUAACGAGUUCGAAUUUGGCAAGAGUCAGGAGGCUACAAGACUGUGACUCGGAAUGUACAACUCAAUGGGACUGGUAGUGACUCUUCCACAACUAUAAUUGAACGCAGAUCAGGGGAUUCUGGUAAUGGUACCACACCAACACCAUUAUAUGAAGGUCUCAGCGGCAAGACUCUCCCCAUACAAUUUGACAUUACUACUGCUACCGCACGGCCAACCGAAACAAACUUGGUUGACCUGGAGAAUGCGUCCUUUGGACGGAGCAACACAAAAUCAGCGUCCGCUCCUGGUCCAGCGAAAUACGACACGUCCUUCGGCUGCUCGAAAAACAACCUAGAGAUUGACAAAGCAUUUCAAGUCUAACCAUAUCAUGGGAGAACACCGCACCAAAAGAGAUUUAGAUACUGCAAAUAAACUUGCAAUGUAGUAAAAUUAGAUAUAAUCCUUCUUUUACCUUGAACGGCAGCAAAAUGCAAUAAUACUGUUUUUUUUAAAAAA